This 442-nucleotide ribosomal RNA is filed under the name uncultured prokaryote. RNAcentral describes it as "bacterial SSU rRNA". It matches the Rfam family "Bacterial small subunit ribosomal RNA", at positions 355 to 796 of the family's 1533-position model. The record is from RNAcentral.
UGGGGAAUCUUGGGCAAUGGGCGAAAGCCUGACCCAGCCACGCCGCGUGGAGGAAGACACCCCUAUGGGGCGUAAACUCCUUUUAUAUGGGAAGAAAACUUUCCUCGGGAAAGAUUGACGGUACCGUAUGAAUAAGCACCGGCUAACUCCGUGCCAGCAGCCGCGGUAAUACGGAGGGUGCAAGCGUUGUCCGGAUUCACUGGGUGUAAAGGGUGUGUAGGCGGGACGGUAAGUCAGAGGUGAAAGCCCACGGCCUAACCGUGGAAUUGCCUUUGAUACUGCCGUUCUUGAGUCUCGGAGAGGUCGCUGGAAUUCGUGGUGUAGCGGUGAAAUGCGUAGAUAUCACGAGGAACACCAGAGGCGUAGGCGGGCGACUGGACGAGAACUGACGCUGAGGCACGAAAGCGUGGGGAGCAAACAGGAUUAGAUACCCGCGUAGUCC